Molecule: ribosomal RNA, 433 nt
Filed under: uncultured bacterium
Lineage: Bacteria
Description: partial 16S ribosomal RNA
Rfam family: Bacterial small subunit ribosomal RNA
Source: RNAcentral
AACGAACGCUGGCGGCAUGCCUAACACAUGCAAGUCGAACGAGACCUUCGGGUCUAGUGGCGCACGGGUGCGUAACGCGUGGGAACCUGCCCUUAGGUUCGGAAUAACUCCCCGAAAGGGGUGCUAAUACCGGAUAAUGUCUUCGGACCAAAGAUUUAUCGCCUUUGGAUGGGCCCGCGUUGGAUUAGCUAGUUGGUAGGGUAAAAGCCUACCAAGGCGACGAUCCAUAGCUGGCCUGAGAGGAUGAUCAGCCACACUGGGACUGAGACACGGCCCAGACUCCUACGGGAGGCAGCAGUGGGGAAUAUUGGACAAUGGGCGAAAGCCUGAUCCAGCAAUGCCGCGUGAGUGAUGAAGGCCUUAGGGUUGUAAAGCUCUUUUACCUGGGAUGAUAAUGACAGUACCGGGAGAAUAAGCUCCGGCUAACUCCGUG